AAAAUUUCAGAAAAAUGUUUUCGCUCCAAGUCACGCGAAAUACGAAACCCAAAGGAAAGUCCAUCCUUCCUGACUGCGUAUAUCGCAAUUGAAACAAAAAUCCCAUUCAACAAAAACCGCACAAAAUUACUUCAAAUUUGCUUUCGAUUUCUAUACCUGUUCAAGAAGAAAUGCAUUCUUAGAUUUUUAUUUCCUUUUUGCCUCUGCCUAACUCAAUCCGAUUCUCGGGGUCAAUGGACGCAUCUAAUGCCCGAGUUCAUUCAUUUGGCCAGACUGAGAUUAAUUGGGACAAGCUCGAUAAGACUAAGUUUUAUGUUGUUGGGGCUGGUAUCUUUACUGGGAUUACAGUGGCAUUGUAUCCUGUGUCUGUUGUAAAAACCAGGCUUCAGGUGGCUACAAAGGAUACUGUUGAAAGAAAUGUAUUUUCUGUUGUCAGAGGUAUACUGAAAACAGAUGGUAUUCCUGGUCUCUACAGAGGGUUUGGUACAGUCAUUACUGGUGCAAUUCCUGCUAGGAUUAUUUUUCUUACUGCUUUGGAGACCACAAAAGUGGCAGCUUUCAAGAUGGUUGAACCAUUUAAGCUAUCUGAACCUGUGCAAGCAGCUGCAGCAAAUGGUAUUGCUGGAAUGACAGCAUCACUCUUUUCUCAAGCAGUGUUUGUGCCAAUUGAUGUGGUUAGCCAAAAGUUGAUGGUACAAGGAUAUUCUGGCCAUACAAAAUACAAUGGAGGUCUAGAUGUUGCUCGGAAAAUUCUAAAGUCUGAUGGUAUAAGAGGACUGUACAGGGGGUUUGGUCUAUCUGUUAUGACUUAUUCUCCAUCUAGUGCUGUAUGGUGGGCAAGUUAUGGUUCAAGUCAACGUGUCAUCUGGAGCAUGUUGGGCCAUGGUACUGACCUUAAGGGAGCCGCUCCUAGCCAGUUGACAAUAAUGUUAGUUCAGGGUACUGGAGGAAUUGUUGCAGGAGCAACAGCAUCUUGUAUUACAACCCCAUUGGAUACUAUCAAGACUCGCUUACAGGUGAUGGGACAAGAAAGAAAAAGCUCUGCAAGACAAGUUGUUAAGAACUUGAUUAAGGAUGAUGGAUGGGGAGGUUUAUAUAGAGGGUUGGGUCCAAGAUUUUUCAGCAUGUCAGCAUGGGGAACCUCAAUGAUAUUAGCCUAUGAAUAUUUGAAGCGAUUGUGUGCAAAAGAUGCAUAGAUGUGAUCCUGCUACACACUUCUGGCCCAGAACCGUUGCUUCUUGCCAUGUGACUGGCAAAGAUUCAGGAUUGAAAUUGACUAUAUUAAGCUUAUUCUAGAAGAUGGCUGUAUUAGAUGGAUAGUCGCAAGAAUUUCUUGUACUCUAAUCCUUGAAAUAGAAUUGUAGAAAUUGCAGUUUUGACAUUAACUGAGGAUUCAACCUCAAGGUGAUAAAUCUGGAAUAUUGGAUUUUGAAUAGGCCUCUUGGAGAUGGCCAAAAUUCUUUCAAGCAUAGAUUUUAUUCUUUCCCUUUGUUGGGAUCUCUUUAGGUUAAAUUUGAAUAAAUUAGAGGCUGUCACUGUUGUUUUUAUUUUCAUUUAGCUUAGCAAUUUUAUCCUUAUUACAAAGUAUGUCAGAUAUGAUAUUUUGCACUUAUGUCUUCCAUUUUGGAUUCUUGUAUUUAAAAUGCUUCAGAUUUGGAUGUCAAAUCAUUUCGCAGAAAUGGUACUAUACCUGAACAAAAU
This 1701-nucleotide unclassified non-coding RNA is filed under the name Hevea brasiliensis (rubber tree). The record is from RNAcentral. Lineage: Eukaryota; Viridiplantae; Streptophyta; Magnoliopsida; Malpighiales; Euphorbiaceae.